Long non-coding RNA from Raphanus sativus (radish), 1236 nucleotides. RefSeq lists it as uncharacterized. NCBI's taxonomy places the organism in Eukaryota, Viridiplantae, Streptophyta, Magnoliopsida, Brassicales, Brassicaceae. The transcript has 7 exons. The record is from RefSeq and is a predicted model, not a curated record.
UUUAGAACUGUCGUAACCCUAAUGUCGUCUUCUCUAUCCUUUCCACUUCCACUUCUCCAUUGCUCUUCUCCAAAUCCGUUUCAAACGUAUUCACUAUUAUCUCCUCUAAUCAAUACUUUGCUUCAACUCAUUCAAUGGGUUCCUUUCACCUUCCUCUCCAUUUGUCUAUUAUAAAUUUAUUUUCCUAUCUUAUGUCUCCAUUACAAUUGAUUCUCUCAGACAUUCAUUUCGAUGGAACCCAUAGUUGUAUCACAUAAUGCGAUGGAAAAUGUUGGUUUUACAAUUGGAAAUGUGCUCUCCACUGUCUAUUAUGUACAUCCACCAUAAAAGUCACGGUUGAAAGCAGUUAACGAGGAAGAAGAUCAAGGAAAAAAGAACAGGAAGAAGUUGGGAUAUUUGGUUAAUCAAAAACAAGUUGCAUAAUUUUGCUAGACAACACUCAGAUGUCCUUGAGAACUUGAGUCCGACACUCAAAGAGGUUCCAGGAGAGAUCGAUCCAAACCAACAAGAUGAAAUGGAAUCAAAGCUUUUGGAGAAGAAAAAAAAAAGCUUUUUGAGAAGAGAGCAGCUUUAGAAGCAAAAUAUCAGACGUGAUAUUAACCUUUGUAUACCAAGGUUAUGCUUAAGAUGUUGCCAGAUGGGUACUGUUGAAAAUAUUCCAAAGUUCAUCAAGGGAGUGAGAACAGGCCAAAAUUAUCAAAAGAAAUUGCAGAUGAAGUAUUUCCCACUGUUGGAAGGGCAAACGAGUGUUCAUCACUUCCUCUCACACAAAUAUGGAAACUUGGAGUAUCUAAACAUGGCAAUGGGAUUUCCACCAGAAUCUUAAUUGGUCUUAUUUGCUAUACCUUGGAAAAGCUUUGCCUGAGCUGAGCUGAGCUGUGAGGAGGACGAGUCUGCGACUUCGACAGGAAAGACGUCAGAGCUAUAGACAGCUUUUAUUUAAGUCACAAGAGUGAUUGGAUGAGCCUGACACCAAGAACAUAAUAUUUCAAUAGGUUAAUUUCUUACCGAGAAAAACUCGGCAUUUUUUACGGAGAAUAUGUUUAUUUAAAGUAGUUUGAAACUUAGAUAGCUCAAAGAUAUGCAUUUUACAUGCAUGCAUGUGUACGUUAGUGUGAAAUAGAGACAUGGUAGAUGAACCAAAAACGCCUUCAUUCUCUCUUUGAUACCAAUCUAAAGUAAGCACACACCAAUGUACUUUAAAGAUUUCAAUAAGCAAAUAUGUUUGACACAAUC